ACCACGGUGUGGUUCAUGACUGGGGUGAAGUCGUAACAAGGUAGCCCUAGGGGAACCUGGGGCUGGAUCACCUCCUUACCUAAAGA
RNAcentral lists this ribosomal RNA (86 nucleotides) under Photobacterium leiognathi subsp. mandapamensis. Its description in RNAcentral is "partial 16S ribosomal RNA". It matches the Rfam family "Bacterial small subunit ribosomal RNA", at positions 1456 to 1533 of the family's 1533-position model. RNAcentral also lists the same sequence under 2 other names. The record is from RNAcentral. Lineage: Bacteria; Pseudomonadati; Pseudomonadota; Gammaproteobacteria; Vibrionales; Vibrionaceae.